AUAACUAGAAUUGCCAUUGCAAGCAAUAGCGGAUGUCACCCUGGUUCCCCAAUUGCCACUAAACGACAGCCAUUUCGAAAUGUUCCAUCAGUAAAUGUAGAUAUAUCCAUAACAAAAGAUCUUUCUGUCAGUUUUCAUAGCUUUAUAUACGUUUUUCUGUUUUCAACAAUUGUGCCGUUUCCAUGGCAACGGCGGCCAUUUUGGAAAUUAAAAACUCAAAAGUCAAGUCUACAUUAGCUAGGUAACAUUUGUUUUAAGUUUCAUUAAAUUUGAAGCCUUUUGGAGUUUUUCAUAUUUUUGCUGUUUCCAUGGUAACGGCUGCCAUUUUGAAAAUUCCAAAGUCUAACUUCUUCUGCAAAUUGAUCUCUCCAUAAUUAUAUACCAUCAUAUACCAUUUAAUGUCUCUAGAAUAAAUUUAACACUUAUGUUCUGGAAUGUUCCAUGAAAAUUCACCCCCCUCAAAUUAUGUCUAGAGACCCCCCAGUUGAAAAAAAAAAUGUACCAUGUUGAAGUGUGCAUGAGUCUCUUAAUAUCAUAGAAGUUUCAUAUCAAUUGGAACACAUUUCUAUUUUUCACAUUUUUGCUGUUUCCAUGGCAAUGGCAGCCAUUUUUUUAAUUCCAAGGUAAGGUGCAAAACUGCACAUGGUGAUUAACAUUAUGUUAUAGUUCCAUCAACAUUGGUCCAUUCAAUUCUGAGAACUAAGCCGGACAAAAAGUGUGGAAUAAAAAUAAUAAGAAAAAAAGAAUCGUACAAUAACAAUAUGUCACCCGACCUCCGUCAGGGUGACAUAAUAAGG
This 797-nucleotide long non-coding RNA is filed under the name Mytilus galloprovincialis (Mediterranean mussel). Lineage: Eukaryota; Metazoa; Mollusca; Bivalvia; Mytilida; Mytilidae. The record is from RNAcentral.